UUUGGAUUUGUUUCGGAAGAGGUUGUGUGCCAAGAUUUUGAUCGACUUUGGGAGGGAGCUUUCAGCAAACUUGUUUGAUUGUCUUUUCAGUUCUAGGAAAUGAAAAUUGGGUCUCUUUUCUCGGUGUGUAAGAUUUGGGGAAUCCCGACUCUGGAACAUGCAAAGCUCAAAGCUAGGGUGGAGGUUUUACAGAGAAAUCAAUGGCACCUACCAAUUUUGUUAAAUAAGAAAGUAUUUGUGUUUUACAGAGAAAUCAAUGUCAUUUUAUGGGGAAAGACCUCCAAUCCUUAAGUAUGAAAGAUCUUCAGAAUUUGAAGCAGCAACUUGAUUCUGCUCUGAAGCACAUGAGGUCUAGAAAUGUACAAAAUCAAUGAAUACACCAGAAAGUUUUGUUUGGUGUAGCUAGAUUGAAUCAUGCAUAUAUUAUACAUAUCUAAUAUAUAUUAUAUAAGGUUCUGUUUUGUCAGUUAAGAGCAAAAUUAAUUGGAAUAUGAUUUUUAUGUUUGAUCACAUAUAUACAGAAUCAACUUAUGUACGAAUCCAUUCAGUGCUUCAGAAGAAGGUAAGAAAAGACAUUUAAUUUCUGUAUACAUGUAAUAAAAAUGUGCAUAUAUAUAAUUUCGAAUUUAUGGUGGAUUGGAUUUGUUUUCCAUGACAGGAUAAGGCGUUGCAAAACAAUUUAUGAUCUUUUUAUCUGAUUCAAAGUGGAUAUUGAUCUAAUUCAGUUACAUCUUAAAGUUCAACUUUAAGUGAGUAAGUUUAAGCUUGGAGGUUUGUGCUGGUUUUAGGUGAAAUAGAGAGAAAAAAAAAAUCUUGCUCCUCUCUCUCUAAUUAUUAAUCAUGAUGUAUUUGGUAGCUUCAAUUUUUUUUUUUUUUUUUUUCUGUUUUGCUUUGGUGGAAGCUGUUGUUUUUGCCAAUGCUUUUGUUAGUUCUUUCACUACAGAUUUUUUUUAUUGCAUUAACAAAUCAAUGAAUUGAAAGUGAUUGUGUACUCAGAUUUUUGCUUUAAAAAUCUUGCUCCUUUGUUUUUUUCCCAAGAUCAUUAUUGUUAUGAAGCAGAUACAUGUUUUUAUCUGCUGCUGGUUUUUUAGAUGCAAUCAAAAACCAUGUAUUUAGAAUCAGAUUCAUGCAUUAAGAACCAUAUUUCUCAUAUGGAUAUUGUUUGCUCUCAAUUAGUGAACUAAUCAGUUACGCGUCUUUGCUGGGUUUUUGGUUUUUGGAUAAGAUUUUGUCCUGCUUCUCCCCUAAAAUGAGUUAGAUUCUUCAGGUUGAUGAAUUUCAAAAACAAAUUUGCUCUCUGUUUUCUUAGUAAUCAGGUACUGAUUGUAUAUCAGCUCCCCCCUCACAUCCCUUCCCAGUAUUGUUUAUUGUUGAUAAUCAAUUUUGGCCUUAUAUUUGUCUUCCCUGCUCCCCAGCUUGCGAGUGAAACACUGACAUCAGAUUAUCACAGUAUCCGAUUUUAGUUUAUUGUUGAUAAAAGUCAUGCAAUUGGCAUGGUACACCUAAUUGCUGCGGCUCCAACUUGGCUUAUUGUUUCUAUUUGCUGGUGUUCGUAAGAGGGGUGUUAUUUUGAAAAUAGGCUUCCUUAUUUUGAAAACAGGCUUUCUUAUUCUUUCAACUGCAAAACCUUGGUGAUAUUUUCAUUCAAUAUCUGGCCUGAACCGAAACUUAGCAACUAGCUUUCAUUGUCUAACAAUGGCAUUUAUAAUUUGUACUAACUUACUAAACAAUUGACAUUCAACAUUGAUUGGGAUAUUGGAUUUAAAGUUUCAGGUUAUGAUGCCGGAGCAUAACCACGCCUCAAUUUCAAGUGACAGCCCCUCAAAUGAGAAAGAUGUAGCAGACUAUGAAGAAAUCAACUGAAGACAAAUCAGAGGAGUUAUAUUUGUUGAGAAGUUGAAACAUUGAAUCACAUCUAUACACUGUGAAAACGAAGAAAGACAUCUUGAGUAUGAAAUUUUGUAACCGCCCAGUGCCCCUCUGGUAGAGAGCCGAGAGAAAAAAGAAAAAGAAAAAAAGAUUGAGCAGUAUAUAGCCAAGAAACCUGAGCAAGGAAAUGAUAGUAAACUUGAAAAUGUUACACACACACACACACACACACAUAUAUAUAUAUUCAUGUUGACUUGACGUUUCAUUAAAUGUGCAAUGCUCAAGCAAGCAUUUAGAUUUA
Long non-coding RNA from Rosa chinensis, 2170 nucleotides. RefSeq lists it as uncharacterized. The record is from RefSeq and is a predicted model, not a curated record. The transcript has 4 exons. Lineage: Eukaryota; Viridiplantae; Streptophyta; Magnoliopsida; Rosales; Rosaceae.